This 835-nucleotide long non-coding RNA is filed under the name Sus scrofa (pig). RNAcentral describes it as "lncRNA (ENSSSCG00065026835.1)". The record is from RNAcentral. Lineage: Eukaryota; Metazoa; Chordata; Mammalia; Artiodactyla; Suidae.
AGUGCACUUCUCUGGGCUCAUGUGGUUUCACCAUAUAUGUGUUCUCCUCUUGACAAGUUUUCUCCAUCCUAGAGGAAGGGCCCCAGCUGCCAAACAAAGGGGCUUGGAAGAAAGGGAAAGUGGUGGCAUCGCUCUUCUGCUCUAAGAGCCAAGAUAGAAAACUGGAUUGACCACUUUUUUCCUCUGUUUUUCCAGAAGGAAAUGGUUUCCAGGAAUACUGAUCCUGACUCACUUACCAAGGCAAUGGGCUUAUGGUAUUUGACCCUCAAUGUUCCUCCUGUGCUGCCUGCCAUUCUUCUUUGACUCCACGCCUUUCCGUGUAGAACUUGUGGCCUUUACUCUUUCAUACAUUAUUGUUUUGUUUGAAAAGCCCAGAGCAGCACAGUGCCAGGUUGCAAGGCUGAGAUGCAAUUCAAAAAAUAAUGUGUAAAUAAGAAAGCAGAGAACUUCAAAAAAACAGAAAGGUAGGUAGUGGAUGGAUAUUCAUGCUGAGGACUCGCUUGGUGGCAUUGGCAGCCUGACAUUCUUCCGGAACGGGUUUUGAAGAAGAAGCAAGGAUUGCCAAGUAAUGUGAAACAGGGCCCAGUUGUCAGUUGAACAGUGAGAAAUGGCUGCAGGUGUGACUUAUUGAAAGACUACCUUAGUUUCAAUGUUUAUCAACUGGCUGUCCUCCAGAACCUCAAUUUGGUGUCAUUUGGCAACAAGUCUGACCUAAAGCAAUACAGAUUUAUAAGUGGCACCAACACUAAUAGCACAAUCAUUUUGUAGUGCUUUGGAAUUUGCAAAGCCUGUCAAAUCCAUUGUCUUAUUAGAUCUCUGCAAAUACCCUGUAACA